RNAcentral lists this ribosomal RNA (465 nucleotides) under Vreelandella stevensii. RNAcentral's name for it is "partial 16S ribosomal RNA". It matches the Rfam family "Bacterial small subunit ribosomal RNA", at positions 338 to 795 of the family's 1533-position model. Lineage: Bacteria; Pseudomonadati; Pseudomonadota; Gammaproteobacteria; Oceanospirillales; Halomonadaceae. The record is from RNAcentral.
CCUACGGGAGGCAGCAGUGGGGAAUAUUGGACAAUGGGGGCAACCCUGAUCCAGCCAUGCCGCGUGUGUGAAGAAGGCCCUCGGGUUGUAAAGCACUUUCAGUGAGGAAGAACGCCUGGUGGUUAAUACCCAUCAGGAAAGACAUCACUCACAGAAGAAGCACCGGCUAACUCCGUGCCAGCAGCCGCGGUAAUACGGAGGGUGCGAGCGUUAAUCGGAAUUACUGGGCGUAAAGCGCGCGUAGGUGGCUUGAUAAGCCGGUUGUGAAAGCCCCGGGCUCAACCUGGGAACGGCAUCCGGAACUGUCAAGCUAGAGUGCAGGAGAGGAAGGUAGAAUUCCCGGUGUAGCGGUGAAAUGCGUAGAGAUCGGGAGGAAUACCAGUGGCGAAGGAGGCCUUCUGGACUGACACUGACACUGAGGUGCGAAAGCGUGGGUAGCAAACAGGAUUAGAUACCCUGGUAGUC